GAGAGAAGAGCCAGUGGUAAGUCCCUAUCUAUCUUAUUAAGACAUUGUGUUCGACACGUGAUAUGAUGGUUACUUAUCCAGAAGUGAGCUCCAGGAUGAGCAGUCAAGCUAGGAAAAUGAGCAAAGAUGCUAAACAAUGUGUGAGCAACUGAAAUAAACAAACGGCACAAGUCGUGCACUCUCCUGUUCACAGAGACGACCCUGGAGCACUCCUCCAAAUCACUUGACUUCUAUUUGGACUUCAAAUAGAAACUGGAAGUAGUUGAUUGCUAAGAAAGAAAAAGGAUGUAGUCCAAGUCAGGCAAUGGAAACCAGCAAGAAGCCGGCAAUGAUGACAAAAGAAGUGCCUAAACCUAAAACACAGGAAAAAAUAAAUCGUCACCACUUAUCAAUGUAGAGUUACUGUGGGUAGGAUAAACUAAAAAUACAUAAGCAAAACACAAGAUUAAUUAACUCUCUGAUAUCAGGGAGUAUGAGAUCUGUGUUAGGAAGACAAAUGAUGUAUUUUAAAAAAUAGUUCCAACAGAAGAAAAGCAGGGAGACACUAUGAAAAUAGAAGGGACAUCACUAGAAUAGAGGAGGGAGGUUCAAGGAGGAGGGAAGAGGUACAGGAAAAGGAGGAACUACGGAAUGAAAUUGACCAAAUUAUACUAUUUAUGUAUAUGAAUAUGCC
This 673-nucleotide long non-coding RNA is filed under the name Marmota monax (woodchuck). The record is from RNAcentral. Lineage: Eukaryota; Metazoa; Chordata; Mammalia; Rodentia; Sciuridae.